GAUAGAUAGAUAGAUAGAUAGAUAGAUAGAUAGAUAGAUUUUUGUAGUUUAAAACCAACAUAGUAACACUAACAUUAUUGCUUUUUCUCUACUGAAGCAUGGCAGUCAGAGAAUUCUUAUGUCUGGAUGAUCCACCAACUGCUUUAGAUGCUCUUAGAGAAAGACAGGCCUUCUGUGAGACACUGGAAGGGACAGACCGCUGCCUUCAGAAGGAUUUCAUGGUUGACGAGAGAGAGAGAAAUGAGUCCAUGAGAAACGUCCUUCUGCACAAAGAGCUCCAAAUUAGCCAUUCUGAGAGAACAAAGAAGGGCCACGGAGCGUGCUGGUGUGGAUCAGCGACUGACAGCCCAGAAAAACACCGUUGCGGAGGACCAUUCCAAGAAAUUCAUCAAAUGAAGUAAGAAAGGGGAAAAGACCCUUUCCUAAAACGGAGAAGAGAAAAAAAGCUGUUUUUCUUGGAUUAAAGUCGAUCUGCGCCAGCAAAUCAUUUGUAGCACAAACAUUUUUAAUGGCUCAACCAAGAGAUGUGGUUUAAAAGGUUUAAUGAGGUGCGAGUGUAUUUGUGAUCCUGUCAGUUUUGUUUUAUAGAGAUUUUAUAGAACAUCUGUGUCAGAUUCGCACUAUAGGAGCCAAACACAUAACGUCAACUCUGUAAACUUUUGUUUAGAUUUUUUCCUUUAAGUAUUUAACUUGACUUCUGUUUUGGAUUACUCUCAUUUUAAACAUUUGGAUGUUGACUUUGUAAGUCAAUAAAAUGUUUACAUAUAACUAACCUCCUUUUUUUGGAUUGUAGUCAAUGUAGCAGAGAUUUUAAAAUCCUAGUAAUGAUAAUUCGAUCAAUUCACCCAGUUCUACUGCACUGUAAAGAAAUUCUCGCUGUCUUAAUUUUUUUUUGUUGAAUCAAAUUAACUUUUUUAGUCAUCUUACAUCUAGUCAAACUAAUCAAAAAUAUUGUAAAGGGCACCUAUGAUGAAAAUCUUCUUUUUAAAGCUGUUUGGAUAGAACUGUGUGUA
Molecule: non-coding RNA, 1013 nt
Organism: Danio rerio (zebrafish)
Lineage: Eukaryota; Metazoa; Chordata; Actinopteri; Cypriniformes; Danionidae
Source: RefSeq, a predicted model, not a curated record